RNAcentral lists this transfer RNA (84 nucleotides) under Nocardioides malaquae. RNAcentral describes it as "tRNA-Leu". It matches the Rfam family "tRNA". From Rfam's summary of the family: Transfer RNA (tRNA) molecules are approximately 80 nucleotides in length. Lineage: Bacteria; Bacillati; Actinomycetota; Actinomycetes; Propionibacteriales; Nocardioidaceae. The record is from RNAcentral.
GUCAGGAUGGCCGAGCGGUCUAAGGCGCUGCGUUCAGGUCGCAGUCUCCUCAGGGAGGCGUGGGUUCAAAUCCCACUUCUGACA